UGAGACAAUAUCAACAUACCCUCACCAAGACAUUUCAAUAUCUUAUUUUAGAUUUCUGUGUAUAUUGCAUUUUUUAACUUGUUCAGGUCAAACUCAUGCAUGGUUGCGCUCGCCAUCGGUGCCUGGCGUUUAUCUUACUCUUGGCCAAUCCUCCAGCCAAUACAUUUCGGGUUUUGCUAGUUUUGCGAUUUGUUCAUUUCCUAGGUUUUCUUCUUGGGAAUCAUUUGGAUGGUUUAGAUGAUUGACAUCCUGCUUCAUUAGAAAUCGUUGACAUUGGUCCGGACAAUAGACAUCCCCUGCCCCACCUGUACAAAUUUAUAGUUGGAAUGCGCGAAAGUAUACACAUGCACGAUGAAGUGUGCAAUUUAUAUUCUAUUGGUAUCGACAAUUGUAUAAGUAGUUGUACAUAUAUGCUAUAAGAGAC
Molecule: small RNA, 424 nt
Filed under: Histoplasma capsulatum var. duboisii H88
Lineage: Eukaryota; Fungi; Ascomycota; Eurotiomycetes; Onygenales; Ajellomycetaceae
Description: Histoplasma capsulatum H88 hypothetical RNA
Source: RNAcentral